This 4049-nucleotide long non-coding RNA is filed under the name Homo sapiens (human). RNAcentral describes it as "HSALNT0186281". The record is from RNAcentral. Lineage: Eukaryota; Metazoa; Chordata; Mammalia; Primates; Hominidae.
CAGGGACACAAACACUGUGGAAGGCGGCAGGGCCCUCUGCCUAGGAAAACCAGAGACCUUUGUUCACAUGUUUAUCUGCUGACCUUCCCUCCACUAUUGUCCUAUGCCCUGCCAAAUCCCCCUCUCCGAGAAACACCCAAGAAUGAUCAAUAAAUACUAAAAAAAAAAAAAAAAAAAAAAGACUGCCAUGUCACUGGGAGGUAGGCUACAGCAGAAACACCAUAGAGGCAACAGAAAUCAUUCUAAUGGCACUACUAGUCUAUAGCCAAUAUAUUUGCUCCUAAUCAACCUGGAAAUGGCCCGUGAGUCCAUCUGUAUCCUAGGUCUAGAAAGACACAGGCCUAAACUCAAUUAUAGGAAAAGAAGCCACCUUAGUAUAAUUCCAUUGCUCCCAAAAAAGAUUAAUUUUAAUUUCAAAAUGAAUCCAGAGUAGGCAGAAACCAAUUGCAUCCAGAAUCAUCACAUAAGACUUCAUCUACACCUGGUUGGAAAUAUUUAAAGCAAGUCAUAAAACAUCACCACUUUAGUGAUUCAUCUAGAUUGAUUAUUGUCCUUGAAAAUAAGGGGAUCUCUUGAGAAAAAUAGGUGGAUUAAUGAAGUCACUUGCCUAAGUUGGAAAUCAGGUAGUAUGGCUUUAGAGUUUCUGCUCUGGACUUCUGUACUAAAUAGUCCCUCCCUUAGUGGACUGCUCCAUUCUCCUCCCUGCUGAGGAGAAACAAACAUGUCUGACAAAGUAGAGGGCCCACUUGCAUCCCACUGAUAAUCUCAACCAUUCUUCUGAAGAACUGCCACUGCCGGCUCCUCUUACUUGUUCCAAAUCUGGUUUGAGAGUGGUCACCUCAUUCUAUGCCUUCCUCGACAUUGUGGUCAAGAGUGGUAUGUCCUGUUUGGAAAACAGAUACUGAUUUCUGCACAUGCUUUCUUUGGUCUGUCAUAUGUGUCUCUCAAUUUGUAAUUCAAAUUGGACUUUAUAAUGGUAAACUUCUAAAGGGCAGGAACGUGUUUCCUAGCUUUGUGUGUGUGUGUGCAUUUCCCACCAUAAUGAGCAAACCAUAGUCGUUUUAUGAUGUUUUAUUAAUAUGCACUUAAAGUUAUUCUUUUGGUAUGCCUGUGUAUUUUUUGCAUAUGCUCUUACAUAAUAGUAAAGUAUCGCAUUUAGCAGAGAGGUAAUAGACUUUUUUUUUUUUUUUUUGAGACGGAGUCUCGCCCUGUCGCCCAGGCUGGAAUGCAGUGGUGCGAUCUCAGCUCACUGCAACCUCCGCCUCCCGGGUUCAACCUAUUCUCCUGCCCCAGCCUCCCAAGUAGCUGGGAUCACAGGCGCGCGCCACUACGCCCAGCUAAUUUUUGUAUUUUUAGUGGAGACGGGGUUUCACUAUGUUGGUCAGGCUGGUCUCGAACUCUUGACCUCGUGAUCCGCCCGCCUGGGCCUCCCAAAGUGCUGGGAUUACAGGCGUGAGCCAUCACGCCCAGCCAGACUUUUAUAUUUAAAGCUUCCUUUUUUCAUCCUCCAAGUUGUUCUGAAAUUAUCUAACAUGAUCCUCUUACUUUACUACCAGAUACUAGUUCAUCAGGGUGACAUAGGAUUUUAUUUCUUACAUCCUUUUUUGUUUUUGUUUUUAAGGAUGGGGACUUCCUCUGUCACCCAGGCUGGAGCACAGUGGCACAAUCAUAGCUCACUAUAACCUUGAGCUCCUGGGCUCAGGUGAUCCUCCCAUCACAGCCUCCUGAGUAGCUGGGACUACAGGUGUGCACCACCAUGCCUGACUAACUUUCAUACAUUUUUACAAAAUGAAUUAUGUAACACAACUUCACUAGCCUAUGUGGGUCACCUUUCUCUAUAAUUGCUAAAUAAAAAGGAUAAGAGCCUUCAUCCAAGGGAAUGCAGGGAGUCUAGUCCCACCCCUAGAUUUUAUGAAGAUAGUAAAUUCUCAUGUUUCACAAAUCCAUCAUGGGUGUUUUGGGUCAACUCCCUCUGGGCUGCUACAUCAGAUUUCUCCACUGAUCACGCUGGCUGGAGGCUAUUUAGUCUCCCCAGAAUAUAGACACAGAUUCCGCCAAAAACAUAGAAAUGGAUGCCCUCAGACCAGCCUGGCCAAUAUGGCAAAACCCCAUCUCUACUGAAAAUACAAAAAUUAGCCGGGUUUGGUGGCGCGCCCCUGUGGUCCCAGCUACUCAGGAGGCUGAGGCAGGAGAACUGCUUGAACCCAGAAGGUGGAGACUGCAGUGAGCUGAGAUCAUGCCACUGCACUCCAGCCUGAGCGACAGAGUGAGACUCCUUCUCAAAAAAAAAAAAAAGAAAGAAAGAAGAAAUGGAUCCCCCCACACCUUGAAUUCAGAAAAUACUACUAACCAACAUUUUAGCAUAUUUUACUAAGGCUUGAAGAAGUUGCAAGGGAUUAUAAUAAAGAAAAGGAAAAUAUGAAUGUUUAUGUGAGAUGUUCAUCCUAGAACCUAGAGUCUAUUGGCAUGCCAUUUCAAAGGGACUCUUCAGGCAGACUCUUUCUUUGGGCCCCAGGCUUCUGGGAUGUUCACAGAAACCAUUUAACAUUCUCAAGAUAAAAGCUCUUCUUUUCUAUCUCUCCUCUCACAAAUAACAUAUCCCCAAGCCCUGUCUUAGGCUCAGCUAGAAGAGGCAGAGCCAGGUCAUGUAACCAAAGUGUCUUCCAAGAGACAGUUACCCCCAAAAGAAUUCAGCAGACUUAGUAUCUAUUUGGGGAUGACUUUAUCAAUGGGCUUCCCCAAAGGUAAUUGUGGGCACUUAAUUUACAAAUACCCACCUUUAAAAAUUGCUAUUUACUUAAUUAAUUUACAGAUACUUUGCUCAUGAUAUAUGAGUCCUCUCUAAACAAAGGAAGGUGGUAAACCCCAAGACAAAUACACAUUCCCACCAUUUGUGGAGGAGUUGCAGGGAGGAAUGCUUGGUGGUUUCGAAUAUUUUAUCCCCUUUUCCAACCAUCGAGAAUUUCUAUCAGGACCCAUAGUCCUAGAUUACCGCCACAAUAGCAUCAUUAACAUUUUUAAAGCAUGACUAUUUCUAUAUGAGUCUUCCCUUCUUAGACAAAAAGGCAUUAAAGGCUUGUAUUUCCCUAUUUUCUUACAUUCAAGCACUAUCCUAUCACAAUUAAACUUAUUGGCUUAUUCCUAAGAGCCUUCAUGUUUGUAUUCUUGGAGCAUUAAACUGCCGUUAAAUUUGGGAGGUAUUAAGUUAGUAAGGGAUUGGCUUACGAACCACUUCAGAAGUAGCCUUCAGAAAGGUAUUUAUUGCCAGGCAUGGUGGCUCAGACCUGUAAUUCCAACACUUUGGGAGGCUGGAGGAUCACUUGAGCCUAGGGUUUCAAGAUCAGCCUCUGCAACAUAGCGAGACCUCGUCUCUACUAAAAAUAAAAAUUAAAAAAUUACCUGGACUUGAUGUCAUGCACCUGCAGUCCCAGCUAUUCAGGAGAGUGAGGUGGGAGGAUCAUGCGAGCCUGGCAGUCUGAGGUUGCAGUGAGCCAUGAUGGCACCACUGCACUCCAACCUGGGUGACAGAGUGAGAGCCUGUCUCAAAAAAAAAAAAAAAAAAAGAAAGAAAGAAAGAAAGAAACGAAAAGAAAAGCACUUAUUACCAGGAAAAAGGGUAGGGGAUAUGCGGCAUUUUGUUAGUAAAAGAGUCACUGAAAAAAAAUCUGCGAACCACUGUUUCAAGGGAAGCUUGUACUUAUUCACCCAUUGAACUUUGUCAUCUUCUGAUGGGUGUGGUAGGCUUACUCAUAAAGAAAAGAAAGACUCCUAGAAAUUUCUCUAUUCUUAUCUUGAAUUCUGGUUGUUCCUGCAAUACAGAGCUAGUAUUUAAUUAUUUGGUCUACUUUCUUUGUGUACUACAAAUUCUGUAAUAUUGGGAACAUUAACCAAUUCAGUAAGAGUUGAAGGAAGAGAGAAUACAGAGCUAGUAUUUAAUUAUUUGGUCUACUUUCUUUGUGUACUACAAAUUCUGUAAUAUUGGGAACAUUAACCAAUUCAGUAAGAGUUGAAGGAAGAGAGGGGACUUUACAUAUAUACAUACAUAUAUA